RNAcentral lists this ribosomal RNA (397 nucleotides) under uncultured bacterium. RNAcentral's name for it is "partial 16S ribosomal RNA". It matches the Rfam family "Bacterial small subunit ribosomal RNA", at positions 523 to 918 of the family's 1533-position model. The record is from RNAcentral.
AUACGUAGGGGGCGAGCGUUGUCCGGAAUGAUUGGGCGUAAAGGGCGCGUAGGCGGCCUGUUAAGUCUGGAGUGAAAGUCCUGUUUUCAAGAUGGGAAUUGCUUUGGAUACUGAUGGGCUUGAGUGCAGGAGAGGUAAGUGGAAUUCCCAGUGUAGCGGUGAAAUGCGUAGAGAUUGGGAGGAACACCAGUGGCGAAGGCGACUUACUGGACUGUAACUGACGCUGAGGCGCGAAAGUGUGGGGAGCAAACAGGAUUAGAUACCCUGGUAGUCCACACCGUAAACGAUGAAUGCUAGGUGUAGGGGGUAUCGACCCCUUCUGUGCCGCAGUCAACACAAUAAGCAUUCCGCCUGGGGAGUACGGCCGCAAGGUUGAAACUCAAAUGAAUUGACGGGG